Molecule: ribosomal RNA, 507 nt
Filed under: Triticum aestivum (bread wheat)
Lineage: Eukaryota; Viridiplantae; Streptophyta; Magnoliopsida; Poales; Poaceae
Description: partial small subunit ribosomal RNA
Source: RNAcentral
AUGGCUACCACCAAGCAUUUGGCCAUUGCCGUUCUUGUCCUCCUUAGCAUAGGCACGAGCACCAGCGCUCGAAUCCUCCUGGGAUACGCUCCUGGCGGAGGAGGCGGUGGCGGAGGCAGCGGUGGAGGUGGUGGUGCUGGCUAUGGUGGAUCAGGGUCUGGUUCUGGGUAUGGCGAGGGUAGUGGAAGUGGAGGAGGCGGUGGCGGCCAAGGUGGCGGUGGUGCAGGCUAUGGGCAUGGGUCCGGUGAGGGUUCUGGCUAUGGCGGUGGUGCUAGUGGUGGUGGUGGUGGGCACGGAGGUGGUGGCGGUGGCGGACAAGGUGGUGGGUCUGGCGGCGGCUCAGGCUACGGUUCCGGGUCUGGCAGUGGAUAUGGUGGAGGGUAUGGAGGCGGCGGCGGCGGUGGCGGCGGCGGAGGUGGUCAAGGUGGAGGCUCUGGCUAUGGCUCCGGGUCUGGCUCUGGAUACGGUUACGGCUCCGGCGGUGGCUUUGGAAAUGGACACCACUGA